Molecule: ribosomal RNA, 253 nt
Filed under: uncultured bacterium
Lineage: Bacteria
Description: partial 16S ribosomal RNA
Rfam family: Bacterial small subunit ribosomal RNA
Source: RNAcentral
GCAAGUCGAGGGGCAGCAUUGAUUGCUUGCAAUCAGAUGGCGACCGGCGCACGGGUGCGUAACGCGUAUGCAACUUGCCCUUAACUGGGGGAUAGCCCGCAGAAAUUCGGAUUAAUACCCCAUAAUAUUCAAUGAUCACAUGGUCGAUGAAUUAAAACUCCGGUGGUUAAGGAUGGGCAUGCGUCCCAUUAGCUAGUGGGUAAGGGAACGGAAUACCAAGGCAACGAUGGGUAGGGGGCCUGAGAGGGUGGGC